Molecule: ribosomal RNA, 210 nt
Filed under: Candidatus Acetatifactor stercoripullorum
Lineage: Bacteria; Bacillati; Bacillota; Clostridia; Lachnospirales; Lachnospiraceae
Description: partial 23S ribosomal RNA
Rfam family: Bacterial large subunit ribosomal RNA
Source: RNAcentral
CUGUUGGGAAUCAGUCCCAUGGCAGGGUAGCCAAGCCCGGACGGGAUAAACGCUGAAGGCAUCUAAGCGUGAAGCCCCCCUCAAGAUGAGAUAUCCAUGCAGGAGAAAUCCUGGAAAGACCCCUUGGAGAGCACGAGGUGGAUAGGGCUGGGGUGCAAGUGCAGCAAUGUACUGAGCUGACAGCUACUAAUCGGUCGGGAGCUUAACCAG